GCCAUGGUAUUUAGGAAUAUGAUGAAGCAAACUUGACUUUAAUUCAAACUCAUCCGUCUUACCUUGGGCAGCCCUGGGAUAUUGAAUGCACAAGGGUGUGGCAUUAUCCAAACCUGAGGCGGAAAGCUCCUUGAGUGUACGAUUGUCCAUGGCCAUGCCUUGGACUUCUUCAAAUAUCCCUGCCGUGGCUUCUUCCUCCUCUUCUUGUACGUUUUCUUCAAGGUCAGAUUCGGAGUUGGGUGGAUGGUGUUCUUGUUGGUUCCUAGCUCUUCUCAACUUCCUCUCAAAAUCGUCGUCAAACUCCAAGAUGUUUGCACGAAUCGUUUGAGAGCUUCUAGUCAUACAUUAGUACCUAAGAACAAGAAAAACAAAAUUAGGUCAGAACUUAAACAAAAUCAGAAACAAAGUGAAAUAAAAGAAACAAAAAACAAUCCAAGGGAUUAGCAAAAUUUGCUAAUCCCCGGCAACGGCGCCAAAAAUUUGAUGCGAAAUAGAUAAGCACACAAAUUAAACCCUCUUUUUGUCAAAUUGUAGCAAAGAUGUAAGUAGGGAUCGUUCUAAAACCGGGGAUUAGGAGGGAUUGCUAAACACUUGGAAACUGACUUAAAAACAUAAAAACAAAGUUUAAAACACUAAACUAGACUCAAAGAAUGCAAAACUAAAGGUUAAAACACUUAAACAAACCUAAAACUCAAAACAGCAACUAGAAGACUCAAAACUGCCUAAAAACCACUUUCUGGGCAGUUUUG
This 749-nucleotide long non-coding RNA is filed under the name Malus domestica (apple). Its description in RNAcentral is "long non-coding RNA (MDOM_LNC020762)". The record is from RNAcentral. Lineage: Eukaryota; Viridiplantae; Streptophyta; Magnoliopsida; Rosales; Rosaceae.